UGCUCCCUCCCUAGAUCUUCCAUCCAGGAUAGUCCUGGAAAUGAUCUUGAUGCUAUCUGUUCCUCGUUACAGCAGACCUGCUCAACUUCAGCAGCUAGAAGGAGGAUUGUCUUUCACCAGCUGCAGGAGCCUGUUCCCACUACGAGCCUGGUGGAGUCUUCGGAGCAGAUGUGACUGUCCUACUUGUAUAGAGAAGAGAAACUGAGGCUCAGAAGAGAUGCCUGGCUGAGUUUAAUAGGACUGCAACAACAAUUUUGCCUUUCUACUUUCUGGUACAGUGGUCUUUCCUUUGCCAUCAUGCCUCAGCAUAUCCAUGUUAGUAAAUUCUCCCAGUUGGGGAAAAGCUUGGCAGCAAUGAAAGUUAAUGUGAUGAAUCAUUUAGAUGGACAGAUUGGAAAAAUGUUGUUCCUUUUGCAUGUGAUGUUCUUGCCAGAAAUCAAGUAGGUGGAGUUUUUGAAGCGUGAUCAGUUAGAUAAGUAUGGUGGUUUUAAAUAAUCAAGCAUGGAGCCAUACCGGUUAUGUUUAAUUUAUAACAAAAUCAGACAAUUCAGGCAUGAUGUUGAACUCAUUGAGCUUGGCUCACUACUACAUUUCUCUCACCAAAAGCAAUGACUAUAAAGAGUUACAAAUACCAUGACCUUAUAUCAUAAAGCAUAAAUUAUUCCAGGAAGUUUUCCAUUUAAGUCAACUUCUCAAAAUCUUAGGAGAAAACUACCAAUAUUCAGUUCAAACCCCAGAGGCUUAAGGAAAAAUAUUAAUGUUGAAAUAGCAAGUAAGUGGUAGUAUCCUCGCUGUAUGCACAAUUGCAUCUGCUCGGGGGUUAGUCUUUCUUUAGCUCCUGUCUACAACUCACACCAGUCUCCAGAUUGCAGCAAUAUACCCUUCAUUUGACCCAGUUUAUUCAUUCAAAAGAUACCUGGAGCCAAAACCAUGUAUGAGAAAUAGCAAAGGAAGAGGCAGGCACAAGCUGUGUUUAUAUACCCACCAAAGGACUACAGCAAAACACAUAUAUUCUAGUCAGCUCUGAGUGCACCUGUCUGUGUCAACAGUAGACCAGCGUGGUCUGGCAGAUGACCAUAUGACCCAGCUGAUUCACUCCGGAGUUAGAGGAACUUUUCCCAGACCCUGAAAGUCACCUUUUUAGACAACUUCGCAAACAGCCAUCCUUGUUCACGGACCGUUUGCAAAGAAAUUUCCUAAACAUCACCACUGAGGCUCCUUCCAGCAAUGACUCUGGUCCAUCAUUGGGAUUGCUGAGCAGCUGUUUCAUAACAUGAACAAGGAUGUUUUAACCAUGUUUCUUGACCUGGCCAUUUGGAUCCCAAGGAUGUUUUGGUCCAAGAAUAAAUUCCAGAGCUUAGCUCACCGAAGAAGACAGGAAAACUUGUCAGAUGGGGAAGGAUGUGUCAAGAGCAUGCACACAGAUUUACUCUUCAGCUAGAAGCUCCAAUUCCUAGAUGAUCUGAAUCCAACUCAGAGUGCUUGCACCUGUUUCCUGCCACACAGCUAGAGCUGUCCAGUGAGAGAGACAUGAUGGCCCAGCUUGAAAAAGAAAUUGAGGAUAGCAAGUGUAACAUACCAAGCAUUCCACGAGCACGUGUAAGAAGUGCCUUUCAUGUCCCACCAUGAUUCUGAGGACCCCCCCAGCCAUAUGGAACGUGUCCCUCUAGGUUCUCUGAUUGGCUGAAGCUACUCUAAGCCAAGAGAUCAAAGAAGCUGAUAAUGUAGAAUGUAAGUUUGUCUCCUGGGCCACAAUGGAAAGCAGAGACUGUAGCUGGAGGAGUGAAUAGAGGAUAUGCAGCUCUGGUAAUUCUCAGUACAAUUCCCAGUGGUCCACUCUGCAGAAUGAACCAAGUUCCAUUUUGCCCAACUUCUGGCAGUCCACAUUUGGACUGUGAGCUCACCUACAGAUAAAUCGUACGUGGAUUGAUGCAGUAACUGGAUUUGUAGCUGCUAAAUCUUAUUUAAGUGAGGACCUGUCCAGUACAUGUGAAGACCACCCAUCCACUGAAAGUGAUAAGUGAAGCUGAAUCAAUACUAGACUGAAUCAAUACUGAGCUGAAUCAAUACUUUCCCAAUUUUGAGGAAAUCUUGGAAAAUCUCUGAGAAAUGUGGUAGUAAUUAUUUUGAAGAAUUGGAAAACUUUAUAGCUGAUUAUGCUAUGUGUGGAAGAUACAACAGGAUUAUAAGAGAGAGAAGACAAUAUCCUUGCUGUGUCCAGAAGGCUUUAGCCGGGGUGUCCUACUGAGAGAUGACAAACUUAAGGUUUUUCUCUUCCCAGACAUUACUGGACAACUAGCUAUGUAAUUAGGUCUUAUGCCGAAAAGACUGAAAGGAAAACAUCUCAGAUCUAGGAAUGUGAUCAAGAAAGAAGGCUGGUUAAAGAAUAACAUGGGGAAAAUGAAUGCAGUGAAAUGGUUCACGCACAAGUUCUAGGAAUUCAGAGUGCAACAGCAGAAAUGCGAUUUUUGUUAGAUAUUUCAGAAAGUGAUGUGAGUCCCUGAGGUCAUACUGCAGCGUUCAGGUUCUGUUUGGCCUCCUGCACGAAGCUUUCCUUGAUUGGAAAAGCUGCAUACUCUGAAGCACAUCGCAUGUGUCCUGUCUGUAGUUCAUUUCAUUUCCCCAGAUUUGUUAUCAUCCACCAUCACUCAUACAAGCCUACCUUCUUCAUGCCAACCUUUGUAAUCUUUCUACCUUGCUAACCUGGUCAUGUCAAGGACCAGCUAAUAAAUAGCAAAGUUGUACCUUGAGCCAAGGUAUCUUGACUCUUAGUCCAGUGCUCUUUAUAUACCUCUGAAGUCUUAUUUGAGCUUCAAAAUUAUGAGUCUGUGCUCUCAAGAUUUUUUUGAAAAUGUACUUAAUGUUGCCCCUAAGCUUUUAUGAGAAAUAAUAAAGUUCUUUCCAGAUU
This 2908-nucleotide long non-coding RNA is filed under the name Homo sapiens (human). RNAcentral describes it as "long non-coding RNA NONHSAT184257.1". Lineage: Eukaryota; Metazoa; Chordata; Mammalia; Primates; Hominidae. The record is from RNAcentral.